Perognathus longimembris pacificus (Pacific pocket mouse) is the source of this 104-nucleotide long non-coding RNA. RefSeq lists it as uncharacterized. The record is from RefSeq and is a predicted model, not a curated record. The transcript has 3 exons. Lineage: Eukaryota; Metazoa; Chordata; Mammalia; Rodentia; Heteromyidae.
AAAGUAUCUCAAACUCUAAGGUAGCUGGUUGCCUGGAUGGAUGCUCUGGGAUAGAAGAUCGCAAAACGCCAUCAAUUUUACUUUAAAUUACUAGGAACCACUUG